AGAGGGUGCAAGCGUUAAUCGGAAUGACUGGGGCGUAAAGGGGUGCGUAGGUGGAAAGUUAAGUCAGCUGUGAAAGCCCUGGGGCUCAACCUGGGGAACUGCAGUUGAAACUGGCUAUCUAGAGUCGAAUAGAGGGGAGUGGAAUUUCCGGUGUAGCGGUGAAAUGCGUAGAUAUCGGAAGGAACAUCAGUGGCGAAGGCGGCUCUCUGGAUUCAGACUGACACUGAGGCACGAAAGCGUGGGUAGCGAACAGGAUUAGAUACCCUGGUAGUCCACGCUGUAAACGAUGAGUACUAGCUGUUGGUAGGCAUGACCUAUCAGUAGCGGAGCUAACGCAUUAAGUACUCCGCCUGGGGACUACGGCCGCAAGGCUA
RNAcentral lists this ribosomal RNA (374 nucleotides) under uncultured organism. Its description in RNAcentral is "partial 16S ribosomal RNA". It matches the Rfam family "Bacterial small subunit ribosomal RNA", at positions 527 to 896 of the family's 1533-position model. The record is from RNAcentral.